Non-coding RNA from Camellia sinensis, 1513 nucleotides. Lineage: Eukaryota; Viridiplantae; Streptophyta; Magnoliopsida; Ericales; Theaceae. The record is from RefSeq and is a predicted model, not a curated record.
UCUCUCUCUUGAUCUAUGAAAUCAAUGUUUUAAGGCAUUCUUACUUGAUCCUCAUUUGCAGAGAUUCAGAGAUGCAGUGAUUCAGAGAUUCAGUGAUUUCAGAGCGAUUUCCAUUUCGAAGCUCCAUCGCCACCACCAUCUGCACCGGCGAUUUUGAUUUCACUAACAUCACUCAAGCAAAGGAUGGGAAACCAGUCACUAUUGAGCUUAUUGAUGCCAAGACAAAAGAACUGAAAGAUACCUCGGAGAUAAUUUUUAGCUCUAUGAUAUUGGUAGCAGAUUUCUUGUUCUAUUAACAGAGCGGCGAAAUUAAAAGGUCCUUUCCUUUGUGGAUGUAAUCAAGUAGUGGAAAUUGAGGUUUUUGUUGUAUUUUUGCUCCCAUGUAACAAUGGUUCUCUCCUUUAUGGAGUAAGCUUGAAAACCCAAUUUGAGACAACAACUGACUUUUCUACCUCACUUUCUGUCCAUGCUUUUUUAUUUAUCUAGUUUGUUGUACCGCACCCUUUACCACAAAAUUCAGUUGUUUUGCUACAGGUAGAUGCGGCAUUAAUUGCAACUAGAAGGGGUCCAUUUACAAAAGGUCUUGGACUGGAGAAUGUAUGUCGUGUUAAUUGAUAAUAUGCAUGAGACAAUGUUGAAGUGUUGUAUUGGUUUUUUUGUAGAUCAAUGUAGUGACACAACGGCGUUUUGUUCUAGUAGAUGAGCGUGUGCAAGUUAUUGACGCAAAUGGCAACCUGGUUUGUUAUCUAUACAUUCCGUCAUGGACGAAAUUUUCUGUAUGGUUUUGCAACUAGUUCUUGAAACAAUACUUUUACCAUUAGGUUCCUCAAUUGUAUUGUAUUGAUGAUGCAAAUGAGAAAAUGAUUCUUGUUUAUGCUGCUAGUGCACAAGGGAUUUUUGGUAUGUGGUUAUUACCUUGCUAUUUGCUACUUCAGGCUAUAUGCUUACAUUUUACACCUAUUGCAUAUUUAGCGUUGCUCUCUUCAUAUAGUUGUUGAACAAGUCAAUGAAAAAGAUCAUGUGCUCAACCAUUUGAGCAUUGCAACAGCUUGUUUCACUCACCUAGAAAUUAGUAAUGGUUGGACUCACAGAGGUGAAUAUCAAAUUUUCCAAUUCCCAUACCAAACCCACAAAUAGAAUAAAAUAAAUAAAAAGGGAUGUGUGCAUUUUUAUUGUCUCUUUUGUUCUUAUUGGGUAGUGAAAUAAAAAAGCGUACCCACCAUAUUCUUGUAAUUUACCUAUAGUUGACUAACAUCUAAAAUUUUGCAGCCUCAAGCGAAGGAGAGAGCUGAAAUAGAGGGGUUUGAGAUAAGUGUUGCCAAGACAAGUUUUAAGGCUAACACAAAGGCUCUAGCAGAAAAUGAAGGGGAGGGACUGGCUAAGUUAAUAUACAGACCUGACAACGGGGAGAUACUUGGCGUUCAUAUAUUUGGGUUGCAUGCUGCAGACCUUAUCCAUGAAGCAUCCAAUGGCAUAGCAUUGGGGACACGUAUCUAGGUCCACAGGUGUAAUA